UACGUAGGGGGCAAGCGUUGUCCGGUUUUAUUGGGCGUAAAGGGCGUGUAGGCGGUUGGGAAGGUCCGUUGUGAAAACUCGAGGCUCAACCUCGAGCUGUCGAUGGAAACCAUCUAGCUAGAGUCCGGAAGAGGAGAGUGGAAUUCCUGGUGUAGCGGUGAAAUGCGCAGAUAUCAGGAAGAACACCCGUGGCGAAGGCGGCUCUCUGGUACGUGACUGACGCUGAGACGCGAAAGCGUGGGGAGCGAACAGG
This 253-nucleotide ribosomal RNA is filed under the name uncultured bacterium. RNAcentral's name for it is "partial 16S ribosomal RNA". It matches the Rfam family "Bacterial small subunit ribosomal RNA", at positions 524 to 776 of the family's 1533-position model. The record is from RNAcentral.